This 253-nucleotide ribosomal RNA is filed under the name uncultured bacterium. RNAcentral describes it as "partial 16S ribosomal RNA". It matches the Rfam family "Bacterial small subunit ribosomal RNA", at positions 524 to 776 of the family's 1533-position model. The record is from RNAcentral.
UACGGAGGGAGCUAGCGUUGUUCGGAAUUACUGGGCGUAAAGCGCACGUAGGCGGCUUUGUAAGUCAGAGGUGAAAGCCUGGAGCUCAACUCCAGAACUGCCUUUGAGACUGCAUCGCUUGAAUCCAGGAGAGGUGAGUGGAAUUCCGAGUGUAGAGGUGAAAUUCGUAGAUAUUAGGAAGAACACCAGUGGCGAAGGCGGCUCACUGGUCCGGUACUGACGCUGAGGUGCGAAAGCGUGGGGAGCAAACAGG